AACGUGUUAACUCAAUGGUAAGAGUAUUGUGCUACGGACACAAAUGCUACAAGUUCAAGUCUUGUACACGUUU
Molecule: transfer RNA, 73 nt
Filed under: Zasmidium cellare
Lineage: Eukaryota; Fungi; Ascomycota; Dothideomycetes; Mycosphaerellales; Mycosphaerellaceae
Description: tRNA-Arg
Rfam family: tRNA
About the family: Transfer RNA (tRNA) molecules are approximately 80 nucleotides in length.
Source: RNAcentral